UAUUGUUAGUAGUUUUAGUGAUAGAUUUAGUUAGGUUAGUAGUUUUAGUUAGGUUAGUUAGUUAGCUUGGUUAGUUAGGUGGAGGAGGAGAAGAGGAGAAGAGGAGGAGGAGGAGGACGAGAAGAGGAGUAGGAGGAGGAGGAGGAGGAGGAGGAGAAGAAGAAGAAGAAGAAGAAGAAGAAGAGGAGGAGAAGAAAAAA
Molecule: long non-coding RNA, 200 nt
Filed under: Hordeum vulgare
Lineage: Eukaryota; Viridiplantae; Streptophyta; Magnoliopsida; Poales; Poaceae
Description: long non-coding RNA (HVUL_LNC001913)
Source: RNAcentral